CCUACGGGAGGCUGCAGUGGGGAAUAUUGGACAAUGGGGGCAACCCUGAUCCAGCCAUGCCGCGUGUGUGAAGAAGGCCCUCGGGUUGUAAAGCACUUUCAGUGAGGAAGAACGCCUGGUGGUUAAUACCCAUCAGGAAAGACAUCACUCACAGAAGAAGCACCGUCUAACUCCGUGCCAGCAGCCGCGGUAAUACGGAGGGUGCGAGCGUUAAUCGGAAUUACUGGGCGUAAAGCGCGCGUAGGUGGCUUGAUAAGCCGGUUGUGAAAGCCCCGGGCUCAACCUGGGAACGGCAUCCGGAACUGUCAAGCUAGAGUGCAGGAGAGGAAGGUAGAAUUCCCGGUGUAGCGGUGAAAUGCGUAGAGAUCGGGAGGAAUACCAGUGGCGAAGGCGGCCUUCUGGACUGACACUGACACUGAGGUGCGAAAGCGUGGGUAGCAAACAGGAUUAGAUACCCCUGUAGUC
This 465-nucleotide ribosomal RNA is filed under the name Vreelandella stevensii. Its description in RNAcentral is "partial 16S ribosomal RNA". It matches the Rfam family "Bacterial small subunit ribosomal RNA", at positions 338 to 795 of the family's 1533-position model. Lineage: Bacteria; Pseudomonadati; Pseudomonadota; Gammaproteobacteria; Oceanospirillales; Halomonadaceae. The record is from RNAcentral.